RNAcentral lists this ribosomal RNA (468 nucleotides) under uncultured bacterium. RNAcentral describes it as "bacterial SSU rRNA". It matches the Rfam family "Bacterial small subunit ribosomal RNA", at positions 29 to 490 of the family's 1533-position model. The record is from RNAcentral.
UUGAACGCUGGCGGCAUGCCUUACACAUGCAAGUCGAACGGUAACGCGGGGGCAACCCUGGCGACGAGUGGCGAACGGGUGAGUAAUACAUCGGAACGUGUCCUGUUGUGGGGGAUAACCCAUCGAAAGGUGAGCUAAUACCGCAUGAUCUGGAGACAGCAAAGCAGGGGACCGGAAACGGCCUUGCGCGAUUGGAGCGGCCGAUGUCCGAUUAGCUAGUUGGUGGGGUAAAGGCCCACCAAGGCAACGAUCGGUAGCUGGUCUGAGAGGAUGAUCAGCCACACUGGGACUGAGACACGGCCCAGACUCCUACGGGAGGCAGCAGUGGGGAAUUUUGGACAAUGGGGGCAACCCUGAUCCAGCCAUGCCGCGUGAGUGAAGAAGGCCUUCGGGUUGUAAAGCUCUUUCGGCCGGGACGAAAUCGGGCGAGUGAAUAGCUUGCCUGGAUGACGGUACCGGAAGAAGAAG